This 255-nucleotide ribosomal RNA is filed under the name uncultured bacterium. Its description in RNAcentral is "partial 16S ribosomal RNA". It matches the Rfam family "Bacterial small subunit ribosomal RNA", at positions 524 to 776 of the family's 1533-position model. The record is from RNAcentral.
UACGGAAGGGGCAAGCGUUGUUCGGAAUCAUUGGGCGUAAAGGGCGCGUAGGUGGUUCUGUAUGUCUACCGUGAAAGCAUACAGCUCAACUGUAUUUUGUCGGUAGAAACUGCAGGACUUUGAGGCUGGGAGGGGCUGGUGGAAUUCCCUGUGUAGCGGUGAAAUGCGUAGAGAUGGGGGGAGAACACUCGUGGCGAAGGCGGCCAGCUAGACCAGUUCUGACACUGAGGCGCGACAGCGUGGGGAGCAAACAGG